Long non-coding RNA from Ipomoea nil (Japanese morning glory), 359 nucleotides. RefSeq lists it as uncharacterized. The record is from RefSeq and is a predicted model, not a curated record. The transcript is spliced from 3 exons. NCBI's taxonomy places the organism in Eukaryota, Viridiplantae, Streptophyta, Magnoliopsida, Solanales, Convolvulaceae.
AGUUAGUAGACAUUUCUUCCUGAUUUCAUCAUUGUCUUCCCACCAAGAACUCUGCAACAAAACCAAGAAGAAAACAGUGUCUAUGAGGUGAAAGAGGUAGUGGCUAACUUGGGAAGAAGGAGGAAUCCCAACAAGAAGAGGAAACAACAAAGGUGGGCCCAACAUUUGAGAGUUGUUCGAGUUAGACUAGUGUAGUUGAUCUAGUAGUCUAAACUCUUGUUUUAUUUUAUGGUGUUAUAGAUUAUGGUUGUAGACUUUUGUUUUUUUAUGUUUGGUGAUAGACAGUUAGACACCGGGAUACUUUUCCCCAAGUUACCUUAAUUUAGUAAUUUCGAAUGUUAGUUUGACUUGAUGAUUUA